RNAcentral lists this ribosomal RNA (472 nucleotides) under uncultured bacterium. RNAcentral's name for it is "bacterial SSU rRNA". It matches the Rfam family "Bacterial small subunit ribosomal RNA", at positions 355 to 825 of the family's 1533-position model. The record is from RNAcentral.
UCGGGAAUUUUGGGCAAUGGGCGAAAGCCUGACCCAGCAACGCCGCGUGUGUGAAGAAGGCCUGAGGGUUGUAAAGCACUUUCAGAGGGGAGGAGGACUAUUAGGUUAAGAGCUAGAUAGUUGGACGUUACCCUCAGAAGCAGCACCGGCUAACUCCGUGCCAGCAGCCGCGGUAAUACGGGGGGUGCAAGCGUUAAUCGGAAUUACUGGGCGUAAAGCGCGUGUAGGCGGUCUUGUAAGUCGGAUGUGAAAUCCCCGGGCUCAACCUGGGAACUGCAUUCGAUACUGCUCGACUAGAGUAUGGAAGAGGGAAGCGGAAUUCCGGGUGUAGCGGUGAAAUGCGUAGAUAUCCGGAGGAACACCAGUGGCGAAGGCGGCUUCCUGGUCCAAUACUGACGCUGAGACGCGAAAGCGUGGGGAGCAAACAGGAUUAGAUACCCUAGUAGUCCCUGAGCGGGCUGGCAAGGCGCAU